UGAAAGAUGUCAACCUGAGCUGAAGCCACUUU
RNAcentral lists this non-coding RNA (32 nucleotides) under Mus musculus (house mouse). Lineage: Eukaryota; Metazoa; Chordata; Mammalia; Rodentia; Muridae. The record is from RNAcentral.